AAGGCCCGUUUCAGGGCUGGUCGGCGAGUGCUCGGGACCAAGCUUUGCACGGCGCAGUCCGAU
RNAcentral lists this small RNA (63 nucleotides) under Sinorhizobium meliloti 2011. RNAcentral's name for it is "putative ncRNA". The record is from RNAcentral. Lineage: Bacteria; Pseudomonadati; Pseudomonadota; Alphaproteobacteria; Hyphomicrobiales; Rhizobiaceae.